CGGGGCCGGGGCAGGAGACGGGGCGACGGGGAACCCGGGCAGGUUGAAUUUGACCGGUUCAGCCCCAGUGUCUUCCAGGACUCCUGGCCCAGAGUGGGGAAUUUGAGCUUUUCCACCAGAGGAGGAGGUGUGCAGAGCCACUGGGAGGCCGUGAGGAACCGCGCUAUAGCCGCUGGUGUGCGGUGUCAGGCGCGUGCCAUUCAGAACGCAUCCUCAUUGGGGAAUGAUUCAAAGGGAGAGGGGGUCUUUGGAAGAAUCGUUCCUACUCUGGGUAAAGAUAGGCCAGUCCCCUUGAGUGAUUCUAGACAGUCAGUAGGCUACAUGUUACGGCUGGAAGUCCACACCGAAGGUGUUCAAAACAUUUGAAAAGAAGACUAUGACUGGGAAAUUACUGCUGUGUGUCCGACACCGGGGCUUUGUGUGUGUUAA
Homo sapiens (human) is the source of this 429-nucleotide long non-coding RNA. RefSeq lists it as uncharacterized. The transcript is spliced from 3 exons. NCBI's taxonomy places the organism in Eukaryota, Metazoa, Chordata, Mammalia, Primates, Hominidae. The record is from RefSeq and is a predicted model, not a curated record.